Chrysemys picta bellii (western painted turtle) is the source of this 2607-nucleotide non-coding RNA. NCBI's taxonomy places the organism in Eukaryota, Metazoa, Chordata, Testudines, Emydidae. The record is from RefSeq and is a predicted model, not a curated record.
UAGUAGGAGCACUGCCAGCAGAUCGAGGGAAGUGAUUAUUCACCUCUAUUCAGCACUGAACCAAAAAAGGAGGAGAACUCUAAAGAUGGGAAGCAUUCGUAUUCUAAAGCCACAAUGAAGUACAAGCAGGGACGUGGAUCUGGACAUGGCCUGGUGCAACUGGUAACAGGCAUUCAGGUACUCUUGGUCCAAGGAAAGGCCUACCGUUCUGCCAUAUUGGAGAUGAAGGAUAAAGGCAGCAUAGCCCACCUAAAGACAAGCAUCUACUGAAACCAUGAAGCAGUUAUGAUCACAGACUCUCACAAGACCAAAACUUCUUUACAUAUUCUCCCUUCCUUUGAUGUAUCUGGUGCUGUCCCCUGGCAGACAGGAUACUGCACUAGACAGACAUCUGAUCAAGCAUAGUAAUUUCUAUGUUUUUUUCUAUGAACUGCUAUCAAUGGAUGAAAAUGCUCAGUUUCUGGAACCAAGAAGCCUGGAUGGGUCUACAGCUUUCAGUUAGCUUAGCCACUUAGAUACUAGAAGUGGACAUUUUUAGUUAACCCAAUCCCUUUAGUGGUUCUGGGACAUGAAGAAUAGUAUGCAAUACUCUUAAGAGUGGCAAUGUGCCAAGGCAAUUCUGUGGAGGAAAAACCUAAGAUACUCAUUCUGAUACAUUUUGCUGUUUUGUUAAGUAAUUUAUUAAAGAAAAAAAAUGAGUCAAUGAGGAUCACUGUCUAAACAGUUGUCCACAGCAUUAUUCGGUGUGGAAUACUCUCUUGUGCUGUCAGACCUCCGUCACAAGGGGGAUUUAGAUCCAGACAGAGGUAGGGAGCCACUAGGAAUGUGGUUCCUUAGGAAACUGAAAAGGAACAGGGGAGUAGGAAGUAAAGUGCAGGCAAUAGGGUUUCCUUGUAUAUACUUCAUUAUCCAUGGGUUAAGAGACUUCAUUGUCCAUACCUGCACAAUAAAGGUACAAACCCUGUUUCACUACCACAAGGGGAGCUGAACCUGGGAACUUAUCCCACAAGUGGUAUGAUUUGGCCAUGUGUAUUUUGACUGUGCUUCACUAGUUUAUACAAACUACCAAGUUUGCUGCCAUACUGCAUUUUCCAUUUGUUCAAGAACACUGAAUAUUCACUAUUUAGUGCACAUACACUAAUGUAGUAAAUUAAAAUUCAAAAAUGAAGAUUGACUAGAACAAUAAAUACAGAAAAUAAUAGAACUAAGAAGAAAGGAGCCAACACCUGUCCAUUCCUGCAGCCUCCAGCAAUGAUAUUGGGAUCAGAUGGACAGAAUUCAAAGCAGUAGACCUCUUCAGGGCACUCCAGCAUUAACUAGAAAAAAUAAUAAUCAAUUGAGAAAUACAGCCAUGUUGGAAAGAUUGUUCCUUUGUUGUCUGAAUGCUUUGAAUAUUUUAAAAUCCUGUUUAAAUACCUGAGGGUGAAUAGGGUCAGAGAAACUCCAAAAAAGAAUUGGUGACUUCUGCAACAACAGUUUACCAGAUUGGGUAAUACGUUCUUCAUAAGAAAGCCGCUCUGUUACUGACACUGCUAUAAUCCCUGAUCGAGGGGAAAACAAACAACUUCAUCGUCGAUAAAGGGAAAAUUUUAGCACUUCUACAAAAAAAAAAUGCCAUGCCCACUUCAAGUGUUAAUGGCUCUGUUAAUUAUUGCUUUAUAGGUGACCUGUAAAGAGAAAAAAUUGGCUAUGUCUCCUUUUUAUAUACAUAGCCAAUUUUUUCCCCACUGUAGGUCACCUUUAAAGCAAUAAUUUUAGUUAAUGAAUGAUUAGGCAUCUUAAAAAUGAGUGAUGGAAGCCCAAGACCAGAAUAUAACUCAAUAUUUUUGCUAAGAGACGUUAAAUUCUAGUCUCAAAACUGGAAUAACGUGACAGACAUGGUUAUGCUCUUGGGCACCCAUUAAGAAACCAAUUCCUUUGUCAUUAUACUUAAAAAGAAGGCAGAUUUCCUUUGCAUCCUGCAGUGUUGGCUAUUCAAUGGAAUGUGUGGAGCUGCAAUACCCCAAAGGAAACAUUAGGAAGCAUUCAGAAUGACUACUGGUGCUCCCUGCACUCAGGUGGAGCCACAUAGGCAAGUGGUGAGGAGAAGUUGAAAGAGAAGCAGGGCCCCAUGGAGCAGUGUGUGCUUCUGGGAGAGUAUGAGAAAGAAAUUAGGCCCAGCACAAUUAGAGUCCCUUUAAAUGGAUCUCACAAGGGGAAAAUUUCCUUCCUAUGUAUUCUCUACUAUACACUUGCACAAGAAAUCAUCUGGCCUACAACAUUACCUCUUUGAAUUCUACACAAUAUCUGUCCAUAUCCCACUUUAUCUCAAAUCAGUGGUUUCCACAUUUAAAAGCCAAUAAAACCUUUAUCAAUUUAAACUUUAAAGUUCUGAAACUAUUUCAGGCAUGAACUAUAUAUUUUAUAAGCAUUACCAUAAAUGGUUGGGUGCCAGCAAACACAGCUAACUCUUCUAUGCUUCAGAUAGUGCAGGUCUGUAAACGAUUGGUAUUCCUUUAGGUAAGCAUCUGACUUGCCACCAAAGGCACUUUCAUCUUCUGCUAAUGCUUUCCAGUCAUCAAAAAAGGCAUUCAUAAUUUCAUUUUGCUGCAAUGCUAUUUCCACUCU